Molecule: non-coding RNA, 8307 nt
Organism: Phalacrocorax carbo (great cormorant)
Lineage: Eukaryota; Metazoa; Chordata; Aves; Suliformes; Phalacrocoracidae
Source: RefSeq, a predicted model, not a curated record
GGCGGGGGGGGAGGGAGGUGUCGGCGCAGCUCACCCCCCGCGGGGCCAAGGCACGCUGCUGUGCGGGUGGCAGGAGGGGGGCGUCUCUACCCUGCCGCCCCCCCUCCCCAAAAAAUAUUUUCCGUGGAGAAGCGGACGCUUUUUCGCACGGCUGCCCGUCCCUCCGAGCCCAGCCCCGGGGCUCUCGGUGCCCCCGGUGCCUGUGACCAGGCGAAGUGGCUGCGCACCCCCCCGCCCCGUCCCAUGCCUCUAAUGAAAUUUAUUUAUCUAAAACAUCUAGUAAUAACCUAAAUGGUUUUAAUUGCCGCGUAUUUAAGCCAUCAAACCACACUUUUUAAAAAAAAAAUCUGUUAAAAUUGGCCCGUUUCCAAGUCAUUGACACCAUCCAACCUAUCCAAGCGGGGUGUUCAAAUCUGUUUUGGUACUGGAGUUUUCAAUGUACCAGGUGAAAUAUCUCGCUAAACCCGGCUGCUUUUAACUACCCGGCGUCUUUUGUUUGCCUCACGUUUCCCAUUCAUUCAAAGACAGAACUUUUAAAAGUUUGGGGUUUGGCUUUUUUUUUUUUUUUUCUUUUGAGCGGGAGGGAGAGGGUAAUGCAUGCAAAAUAUUUAGUUACAACUUCUGCGAAAGGCACCGAUCUGUAACGGCAUUUUCUACUUUCACAAAGGAUUUUCCUGUUACUUUUGUUCCGGUCACAAAAUUAAAAAAAAAAAAAAAAAAAGGCGAAAGAAAAAAAAACUUGGGGGAGAGAUAAGGUCUGGAAAACAAUCUGGAAUUGCCAGGCUGUUGGUGGGAGCUCUGCGGGGCUGGCGUCAGGAAGUCUGCGCCGCCUUCUAUUACUGUUGAUCCAGCUUUGUGCAGCUGCACUCAGUACAAUUAGCUUGUAGAAACAAUCCUGCUGUAGGCAGCCUCUUCCCUUCAAAGUGCUUUUCUAUACUGAUCCCCUCACAUCAUGAUGCUGGAAAUCAAGUCACAAGCCGACCACUGUUUGGCCAACAUAAUCUGUGGGAAUUCAUUAACCUCCAUCCCAGAGAUGCAACAAGAGAUUGUUUGUCCAGAACUAAACUUACAGCUUAAUAUGAUGUAGCCCAUACAGGAAAAAACCUGUGUCCCCAUUUCUUUUUCUUUUUUUUCUUUUUUUUUUUUUUUGUCCAUAACAAGAAACACAUUGUGCAGCUUUUUCUCUCUCUUUUUUUUUUUUUUUCUUCAGGGGGUGGGGAAUGUAGCUGAAACCAGGCAUGAGCCGGCUCCUGCUAAAACUUUGCCAUCAAACUGUUUUUUGGUUCAUCGGGCUGCAGUUUCCAUAGAAGCAACUUAUCCCCGCGAUCAUCUUGUUGGGUGCACUUUGCAAGCUCAUUUCCCGUCUGAGUUUGCUCUGCUGCUCUCAGAUGCUGCAGCUGACACAUUUCCUCCCCGUGCACUUUGCACCCACCUCAUCCUUGCCCAGAUGCUCAGGGCUGAUUGUGCCUAAAAGGGGGUUUCAUCGCACUCUGCAGCUGCCUUGGGGGAAGGGAUUUUGUUUUUUCUUAAUUUUAUUUUAUUUCUACUUUCCCCUGCGUCAGUGCUCAGCUCCGUGCCACGCAAGCAGCAGGCCCUCCUUGUUCUUGUUCCCCCAGUCCCCAGCGCUUCGGUGCCCGCUCGCUGGGACGCGGCUGCGGCCACAAGCCCUCUGCCACGCGCCCGUCGCGUGCUGCUGCGUGUGACCGCUGCCGGUGGCUCGGCUGGCCCUGGCCCGGUCCCGGUGGAGCGGAGCUGCCGGUGGGCCGCCGCUGCUGCGUACCACCGGCUGGGAAGCGGGGCCCUGGUGCGCCCCAUCUGUGCGGGCAGCGCCGGAGCAGCGGCAGGGUGACACCUCUCUGCUCCUGCUCCCGGGGCUAUUUGUGAACAACCGUGCUGCUGGAAGCGUGAGUCCUGCUUCCCGGCACCCCCGUGCCGCCCGUGGCAGGGCUCUUCACGCCCUGCCGGCAGCACCUCUCAGGGCAGCAGGGCUGGCGUCACUGCUUCCCCUCACUUCCAGGGUUUCUCAUUUCUGUAAGUAGGACCAGUGCCCUGAAGGCAUUUCUGCGUAAGCUGCCACCUGCAAAGGGCUAUUGCUUACCUGAUGCUACUUGAAGAAAACUGCCAUGAAAUCUUUCUGAAAGCAGUGUCUCUCUGGCAUAUCAAUGGGAAAAGAGAACAAGAGACACCUGCAGAGCAUGAUUCAUUCAGUGCCUGUUCAACACCUCUCUCUGGAUGGGACAAAUCUUCUCGCAGAGGGCCGUUACUCCCCAUCAAUUCUGGGCAGAAGCUAGACAACCAGUUUCGACCAGAAGCCUGACUUAUAGAUGCCAAGUGAGGUGCAGUCUCCCUCCACAGCCUUCUGCAUCAGCAAGUUCCAGAAGUUCACUACGUGCUGUGUAAAGAAGUACUUUUAUCUCUUUUAAAUCAAUCUCCUACUGGUUUCAUCAAGUGACCCCUAGUUCUAGCAUUGCAAAAGUUAUUGAAGAGUUCUGCUGUCAGCUUUUCUACCACCUUUGUGAUUCUAUAAACCUUACUUAUAUUCCCUCUCAGCUACCUUCUCUCCAAAUCCGAGCCCUAGUCUUUUUCAGUCGCUCAUUCCUUCUUAAGGCAACUGCUCUACUCGUUGGAUUGUUUUCGCUGCCAUUCUCUGGACAUGCAAUAACUGUGCUACGUCCAUCCUGAGAUGCCGGGUCCAGGACUCUGAAGAGUACUCAAGAUUUGAGAGGGAUACCACAGACAGUUUCUCUAAGAAGACUCUUUAGUCACUUGCCCCGUAAAUCCACUGUGACUCUGAUCCUGAGCCAUACUGCUUCCCUCCAAGUUACAGAGUUGGAUGGAUGCUGUUCUAGGGUGCAAGAGGGGGAUUGUGUGUGCCAUAUCUUUCUGCUUUCCAAUCCAAAAUGCUAGAGCCUACCAGGGCACAGUGUUGACUCAUACAAAAUAAAGUGUUGGGAUACAUGCAGGCCAGAAGUGGGAUGCAUAUUGACAAACCAUCUCAAAAACCUACACUUACUGCUCUGAUUUAACACAGCAGUUGGCUGGAUCCAUAUGGAGCUGAUGAACCUCUGAAUGAAUAGUGAAUGGAAAAACUGCUGGAAUCUGCCUUCAGCUUUGUUCCCAGGAUGACCAAUGUAAAAGGCCUAAGAGCAAUACUGCACAGAUGGUGUAAAGAGUUAAACUCCUGAUUUCAUGAAAGCUGCAUUUCAAAGGAGUCCGAAACCUGUACUGCUGUACCAAAGGGUCUCCACCACCUCUGCUGCUAAAUGCACGAUCUUGCUGUUCCUGUGAGUGUGGCCAAAUUAACUCCUAUGAUGUUGCACUGAAAAUCCCAGUUUGCAAGGAGGGGGUACUGUUCCUCCAAAAUAAGAAGCAAUGACAACAAAAAAUCCUACCGAGUGUGCUUGGUGGGGCCUCUUUUGUCAGGGACUAAUGACUUUGACCUCACUGUCCGAUCCCUCAGCGUAGAGGUAAGGAUGAAGACUCUUAAGAGGGCUGAACCGUCCUGUGUCAACAAGCUACCCUACAAACCCCAUGUCUCGAUAGCACUGACAAAGUAAAGCCAUUGAGCACAAACAUAUUUAAGGCAUAUUGUCCUGUGCAAGACUUUUUGUCUACCUGUAAACUCUCAGUGAUUUAAAAACAGGCAUUUUUUUUCAGAAGUACGAUACUUAAAAUUGCUUCAAAACUUUGCAGGAGCUGAAAUGUAUACAUUUCAACCAGGCUGGAAAUCUACAGUUUAGCUUGUAUAACUAAAUUACAAGCUAAAUUACUGAUACAUCAGUAGUUUGAAAUACAUCCAUGAAGGGAUUUUCAGAUAAACUGUUUUUUAAACCAGUGUAAAUUCUUUGUACAGACACUAGACCUGAGGAUUUUCACCAAGGAUUAAAUGUUAACUGACUACUUCCCUGUACAGUCCUUGCCAAAUUUUGCUCUCACUUCCUCUGGUCCUGAGUAACUUCACUGCAUUUGAAGUGGUUAUUCUAAAUUUGUCCCACUGUAACAGACCAAAAUUUAGCUUGGAGGAGCGUUGUCUUCUGUUGGUGUAUUUAUAGAUUUUUGGCUGAGAAUCUGGAAUAGGUGAGCAGUCCAAUUCAGGUGUGAACCCUUUCUCUACACUGCCUUGCAGGUAAAUCUGCUUGUCUCAGUUUUUAUAUACCUUAAAAAUGGGUGUGAACUGAUAUCAAAUCAGAUCUCUUCACUUCUUCCUUUGGUAACAUUUUAGGGCAGCUCAAAUCGGCAAGGUGCAAGAAAUCGAGUCCCGUUUCCACCCAGGAAUCGCUGUUCCUGGCAGUAGCACCUGGCAAGCUGCAUUGAAUCCAACACCGAAGAUAGCCUUAUAAACCCUGCGGACAUUAAACUACUGGAAAACAGAUUGGGAAUAAAUGUUGUGUAUUCCAAAUAGAUUUGUACGGGAACUUGACUGCAUCAGGGCAGCAAGAGUAAGGUUAUAAAUUCCGUGGCGAUUUCGGUGAAAUUCCUUGGUUAAUCCUUUUGCAGUUUAUUAGCAAGCAGAGUCCUGAAGAAGUAAAGCAGUGUCAACAAGGGUGUUGUGAAUGGCUUUUGUAGCCCUGCUACAGCUAAUGAAUCCUACCUGCCUGCUGUUCCCGAAGCAUUUCCUGGUUAACGCCGGGCUGUACACCUCCUCCAAAAGGCAGCACCUCCAGCGGUAUCUUGUCCUUGGCACUGUGAGGCUUCAGGUGUGACUCAGAUGGAUAGAUGCCACUGCAGGAGUGACUUGCUCUAACACAACAAAUAUGUCACUGAUUUCUGUACACCUUGCAUUCGAAGAGGACUGAUUCUAUAUUUGUCAGAGCAGCGUACAGCCCUUCUUCCACCUCUCCCUCCUUUUCAGAUACACAACUGCUUUAUUAUUUGCUGAGCUCCAGGAGAGUACUUGGUACUAUACAGAUAUACAAGGAGAAAAUGCUACUGCCCCAUGGAGCCUACAAUAGGCUUGGAUGAACGAGACAAUAGGUGUUGCUAAAAUUGAAGCCCUAGAUCAACAGGACAUCGAGGAUCCUGCAUCUUUGCAAGCACAUGUGGUAAGAAGGCAUCUUAAAAAUAAGACACCAGACCAGAGCUCAACAGAACUGAGAACCAUUCCUGCUCUUCCUUAGGUGUCUCGUGGGGUUUUGGACGAGUCACCAUUUCUGUGUCUCAUUUCUUCAUACUCAAUAGGAAUAAUAGUUUAUUUCUGAUUUCAUUCAUGUUUUGAUGUGUUCAGGAUAUGAGCCCAGGGAGAUUUUUGUCUUGGAUUUGGCUUACUUCAUCAAGAGAUUUGCAUCUCCAGACUUGAUUUAUAUCUGAAGCAAUUAGAGUGAUGCUCUUGAGGUAUCUUUCCAUCCUUAUUGGCAAGUCAGGGAUCAAAGGGUGACUGUAUUCCGGCUGGAUACCUCACAGAGAUGCCUACUUUGUCUAGGGUCAGAUCAGAUCUUAAUGUGUCUGUGCAAUGCAAAACAUAAAUGGGAAUACAGUCUUGGAGUGUUUAAGUUGCACAACCCUAAUUUAACUUCUCUUCAUUGCCUGCAUAUGGAGUCAGGUCUGAAAGCUUUGAGUUAUGGGCGAUCUGAAGGGGAUGAUAUUCUCUUGAACUUGGACACUACACUGGUCGUGAUAUCACGGUUAGCCAUAUACAGGUUGAAUAUGAACCCACAAAAAUCAUACUGAUACAGUAUGGUAAUCUGAAGAUUCAAAAUCAAAAAGACAAUCUAUUGAAAUUGUUAUCAGAUGUUGUGUCUGAAAUACCUCCACUUUUCUCUAGUGAGAAAAAGGGUUGGCUGUGGCAGUUGCAUGGUAUCAGCUGUCAAACAACCUUUUAGCAGAAACCGCUGUAUAAAGCCUUUUUCUGAUUGAGUGCCCAUACAUGAGACUUUUUGUAAAUACAGAAAACAACAUUAAUCUUAGCAGUAAACUGUAUCUUGUGUAAGUGGGCUGUGUGGAUUGAUGUGGAAGGCUUGAACAAACGAGAAGAACUGUUUAAAGUAUGCAGUUAAAUUCACUUAAUAUUACCUUGAUUAAUGACAGGAUUUUUUCAUUUAUCAGAUCAUUUUGCACUAAUUCAGUACAACUGUGUCUGCCUAAUAACAAUAAAUAGUAAACGAUUUCCUUCUUAAAUAUCAAUUGAAAAUCAGUGAUUUCCUGUUUCCAGCUGCACUUAGUGACAAUCAUUGCACAUGGCGCCGCUCAACACAAGUGAUUUGUCUAUAACCACUUUAUAUAUAUAUAUAUAUAAAAGUCUGGUUUCACCAGGCUGGACUCUGAGACAUUACUUAUGUUGAAUUGUACAUGUCUAGUCUGAGGGCAACAGUCUCAGUCCAAAUGAAGGUGCCAUUUUACUAGAGUGAGCAUCUCUGGACCUGGCUCAUGACUUACUGAAUCAGUGAUUAGAACAAGCCUGAAAGGCUUUUUUACUCCUUAGUAGAUGAAUUAAGUGUAUGAAACUCAAAUCCACUUUAAUGAUUUCAUUAUGUGCUUGAGGAAUAUCAAGCCUUUUACUGGAAAAGCUGACGCUGUCAAAAACGUGGCAAAGAGAUGCUGGUGAAAGGAAGGUUAGGAAGUGUUUUUCAUGACUGCUUUUUCUUGCGAUGCUGUGUUAUUUUGUUUCCAGUCCAUUUCUUUUUGUGAAAGAUGAACCAAAAUGGCUGACAAUCAGAAGCACAACAUGUAUGCAUGAGGUGGCAUUCUGGGCUGGAAAACCAUGUUGCAGUGCUGCACAGUACAUUGCCCCUCUUUCCAUAUGUCUUUGCUUAUAAGUGAGGAUGAGUAGGUGUUGAAGUAGGAGGCACUACCUGAAUUAUUUGAGGGAGAAAUAAAUUGCUUGGGUAGGCAAUUGCCCAUCAUCCUAUUGGCAGGUAGACAAGUACCCUACUUUUGAAAUGCUCAGGUGGCUGCCUGUUGAGAAGUGUAUUUCUUUUGUCUGGCUUUGUUUUAAUUUUCAGAACUCCCUCCCCUAGAUGAUUACAAUCCUUCGAGGAGUUCUCUUUGUUAGUCUCAAGCAAGACAGAUGCUUUGGCUUGAGCUGGUAAUAAUGCUGUUUGGGGACUGACAAGCUGGGUGAAUUUGCAGUGUGGUUGUAUACAUCCUCUUCAGUCACCAGUGCUGUGUGUUUAACUUCGCAAUAUGUUCCAUCUGUGGUAGCUAACGUGGGUAUGGAAUUUAUGACUGCAAAGACUAUAACAUACCACAAUACAGGAGUGCCUCUUGAGCUGAAAUGAUGUUUUUAAUCGGUAGAUUAAACGUUGUAGUUGAUUGACAGAUGGCUUUUUCUAUUUUCUGGAAUGCAUGUACUCUAACUUAAUUGUACCAAGGAUAUCACAUCUUGUAUAACACCUUUCCUGCUAACGGGUAUUAGAGAAUUUUAAAAUCGAUGUGCAAGGAACACCAUGGAAAUGCAACCACCUUGGGUAAAAUGCAGAGAAUUUAGGUAGAGAGAAUGUAAUUACCCAUGCUGGAAUUUGGCCAGCACACUGAGAUUAAAACCCCUAAUCUUACAAAGAGUACCAUGGGAUCUCUAAUGACCACAAAUGGUCAGAUCACAAUUUUAUGUCUCUGCCUAUAAUGCUGUACUACAACAAGGGUAUUUUCAAUUGUAUAGUGCAUUCAUUAUAAUUAUGCAGCUAAUUUUAUUCUCAUUGUAAUUUCCAAUAAUAAAGUUACAAAAGUACCACUAAAAUGUACAAAAAACCCCGGUUUGACAUGAUAUUAUGUUAAAUACAUUUUUGGGGCAUAUUCUGCUCUCAUUUAUACUGGUAUCUUUCUUUGAAGCUAAUGGAAUUCCUCCAGAUUUGAGCUGGAAUAACUGACAACAGAAGCUGUCUUUCCAAGAGAACAUUUUUAUGCACAUACAUUGUAUUGUAUGUUUGAAAAGUUAAAUAUUUAUAUUCUGUCCAAAUAUAGGAGAGUCUUUCUUCUUUUAUUUUAAAACCAUAAAAUUGUUAACAGACCCAUGAAAAAAGAAUAUUAUGGCUCUAUGUCUGUUGGUUAACCUUCACCACAAAAAUUGAUCUGUGGGAAUUUCUCACAGUGUAACAUACUGUAUCCAAUUCCAUAGUUAUUACUGUAAACCUAUUAGUGCCACCUGGGUUUGCAUAUCCGCAAUGCUGUCCAAGUGAAGACAGAUUAGCUCUAUCACAUGUUAUGCCAGAGGGACAGCCUCACGAGGAGUCUGCCCUCAGGGAGAAGAAAAAGGGCUCAGACCUUUAAUGAGAAUACAGGGCUUUAUAAUAGCAUUUGGUGGCCUAGAGAUUUUCUGUCAAGUCAUUUCAAAUUAAACUGGCAGCCUGGCAAUGUUCAGCACAUAUGAGUUUU